Molecule: ribosomal RNA, 504 nt
Filed under: uncultured bacterium
Lineage: Bacteria
Description: partial 16S ribosomal RNA
Rfam family: Bacterial small subunit ribosomal RNA
Source: RNAcentral
AUUGAACGCUGGCGGCAGGCCUAACACAUGCAAGUCGAACGGUAGCACAGAGAGCUUGCUCUCGGGUGACGAGUGGCGGACGGGUGAGUAACGUCUGGGAAACUGCCCGAUGGAGGGGGAUAACUACUGGAAACGGUAGCUAAUACCGCAUAACGUCGCAAGACCAAGGUGGGGGACCUUCGGGCCUCACACCAUCGGAUGUGCCCAGAUGGGAUUAGCUAGUAGGUGGGGUAAUGGCUCACCUAGGCGACGAUCCCUAGCUGGUCUGAGAGGAUGACGAGCCACACUGGAACUGAGACACGGUCCAGACUCCUGCGGGAGGCAGCAGUGGGGAAUAUUGCACAAUGGGCGCAAGCCUGAUGCAGCCAUGCCGCGUGUAUGAAGAAGGCCUUCGGGUUGUAAAGUACUUUCAGCGGGGAGGAAGGCGGUGAAGUUAAUAGCUUCACCGAUUGACGUUACCCGCAGAAGAAGCACCGGCUAACUCCGUGCCAGCCGCCGCGGUAA